ACUGCUUCUCGGCCUUUUGGCUAAGAUCAAAUGUAGUAUCUGUUCUUAUCAGCUUAAUAUCUACUACAUCCUCUGUCCAAGACUAAGAGCUAAAUCCUAGGAUUAAGAGAAAAAUAGCCUUG
This 122-nucleotide small nuclear RNA is filed under the name Ursus maritimus (polar bear). RNAcentral's name for it is "U2 spliceosomal RNA". It matches the Rfam family "U2 spliceosomal RNA". Rfam says of the family: U2 is a small nuclear RNA (snRNA) component of the spliceosome (involved in pre-mRNA splicing). Complementary binding between U2 snRNA (in an area lying towards the 5' end but 3' to hairpin I) and the branchpoint sequence (BPS) of the intron results the bulging out of an unpaired adenosine, on the BPS, which initiates a nucleophilic attack at the intronic 5' splice site, thus starting the first of two transesterification reactions that mediate splicing. The record is from Rfam by way of RNAcentral. RNAcentral also lists the same sequence under 1 other name. Lineage: Eukaryota; Metazoa; Chordata; Mammalia; Carnivora; Ursidae.